This 453-nucleotide ribosomal RNA is filed under the name uncultured bacterium. RNAcentral describes it as "bacterial SSU rRNA". It matches the Rfam family "Bacterial small subunit ribosomal RNA", at positions 29 to 527 of the family's 1533-position model. The record is from RNAcentral.
AACGAACGCUGGCGGCAGGCCUAACACAUGCAAGUCGAACGCCGUAGCAAUACGGAGUGGCAGACGGGUGAGUAACACGUGGGAACAUACCCUUCGGUUCGGAAUAACUCAGGGAAACUUGUGCUAAUACCGGAUACGUCCGCAAGGAGAAAGAUUUAUCGCCGAAGGAUUGGCCCGCGUCUGAUUAGCUUGUUGGUGAGGUAAUGGCUCACCAAGGCGACGAUCAGUAGCUGGUCUGAGAGGAUGAUCAGCCACAUUGGGACUGAGACACGGCCCAAACUCCUACGGGAGGCAGCAGUGGGGAAUAUUGGACAAUGGGCGAAAGCCUGAUCCAGCCAUGCCGCGUGAGUGAUGAAGGCCUUAGGGUUGUAAAGCUCUUUUACCUGGGAAGAUAAUGACGGUACCAGGAGAAUAAGCCCCGGCUAACUUCGUGCCAGCAGCCGCGGUAAUACG